Molecule: transfer RNA, 66 nt
Filed under: Macroteleia sp.
Lineage: Eukaryota; Metazoa; Arthropoda; Insecta; Hymenoptera; Scelionidae
Description: tRNA-Asp
Source: RNAcentral
UUAGAUUUAAUUAAAACUUAUAAUAUUAAUUUGUCAAAUUAAAAUUAUUCUUAAGAAUAAUCUCAU